Humulus lupulus (European hop) is the source of this 300-nucleotide long non-coding RNA. RefSeq lists it as uncharacterized. NCBI's taxonomy places the organism in Eukaryota, Viridiplantae, Streptophyta, Magnoliopsida, Rosales, Cannabaceae. The record is from RefSeq and is a predicted model, not a curated record. The transcript has 3 exons.
AGACUUCUGAAUCCUAGCACAUUCGCUGGAUGGUUUGGAAGAUCUCUUUUUCAUGCAAUUGUUGUAUUUGUAAUCAGCAUACAUGCCUACGCUUAUGAAAAAAGUGAGAUGGAGGAGAUCUCAUUGGUUGCUCUCUCUGGAUGUAUUUGGUUGUAGGCUUUUGUUAUGAUAUUAGAAACAAACUCUUUUACAAUACUACAACAUCUUGCUAUAUGGGGAAAUUUGAUUGGCUUUUAUAUCAUCAACUGGAUCUUCAGCGCCAUCCCAUCAUCAGGGAUGCAUACAAUUAUGUUUCGCUUG